Molecule: ribosomal RNA, 216 nt
Filed under: uncultured bacterium
Lineage: Bacteria
Description: partial 16S ribosomal RNA
Rfam family: Bacterial small subunit ribosomal RNA
Source: RNAcentral
ACGCUCGACACUACGGAGGCAGCAGUGAGGAAUAUUGGUCAAUGGGCGCUAGCCUGAACCAGCCAAGUAGCGUGAAGGAUGAAGGCUCUAUGGGUCGUAAACUUCUUUUAUAUAAGAAUAAAGUGCAGUAUGUAUACUGUUUUGUAUGUAUUAUAUGAAUAAGGAUCGGCUAACUCCGUGCUAGCAGCCGCGGUAAUCUGAGCGGGCUGGCAAGGC